GGAUGGUGCUGCUCAAGGGAGAUGGGACCAGAGGACUCACUGUGAUUCCCUCCAAUCUUACCCACUCUGUGCUUCUCUAACUUUGAGGGAGAGACAAAAAACCAAAACUCUUCGCUCUAUUUACUCUGAAAGUCUGAAAACCUCCCCAGUGUUAGCACACAGACAUGGGAGACAAGCUGAAAUCUCUGCUGGGUCUGUGUCCAUGCUGGAGUUCAAGUCCCAGCAGCCACCGCGUCCCUGCAUUUCCUGGAAGUUGAUUGUGUUUUACCUCAGGGGAAGAACUUGCCUGUCAUGCAUCCAUCACCUGCUGCUCCACUUCUGAACCACCAAGUCCUCUCUCCACAGUUUGCUUUUACAUCUCCUGAGGAAGAAGAGAAAGAAAACAUGAGCUCCAUGUGACAGGUGCCAGGUUACUCAGAAGAUAAGAGGAGAUGUCAAAAGAAGUCAAAAUGUCUAAAGUCUCUAUUAAUUUGUUUCUUGUACAUUGAAGGAAUUACAACUGAGUGGCAUUCAAAAGAAGAAACCUGAUGAACAAUAUCAAUUUUGUUGUCUAAGUAGCUUGAGGAUAAACAAUGAUAAUCUCCAGAGUCAGCAGAAUGUUUUCCCUUAUUUAUGAAGGAAACCAAUAUACACUUGUAUAAAGCCUAUUUACAGCUCCUAAAGCUCCUGUGUCAGUGCUCAGAGCUGUUGAGUUUCACCCUUUUUAACCACACCACACCCUCUCACUUUUUGGGGGAACAAACCAGAAGUAGAAUUUAAACUGCAGCUGGAAAGCUCAGAUCCUUUUCAUAGCAUUUGCUGUUUUCCAGGUGUGUUUCCAGGUGAGCUGUGUAAGGGGAUUCAGUUUGCCAUCUUCUCUUGGUUGAAUUAUUUCUAACCCCAGUUUGACAAAUUUGAGGAAAGAAGUAAACUUUUACUUGGUGCACUUCAAAAAUUAGACACGUAAGUAUUUUCACAUUACUUCAUUGCUUAAGCACUAUAUAUCUGCACGAAUUAUAAUUGCAGAAGCUGAAAGAAAUUCUCUGCUGCCAUGAACAGUGGAAUUGGCUUCUGGACUAAUAUUCCUUCUGCUGCUGUCCAAGGAGGGGUGGUAAAACAAAAAAUGAGAUCCACACCUAUGUUUACCUUCUAGUGGGAUGGGCAAACUUCUCCAUAUACCAGAACGAAACUGGGAGGUAGAAUUGAACCCUUUUUUUUAGAUUCUCUUCAGGGCUAUUCCCUAUUGAGCAGGAGAUCACAGUAAAUAUUUGGUAUAUUACACCAGAUAUUCCCCUCCUCUUUUACUGCACUGGGAAACUCAGUGACCUUGAGAUGUUCGGGUAAAGGCUCCCAACAGUGACACUUGGCACUGGGAUUUGCUGAUGUGAAACCAGCUUUACUACACACACUCAGAUUUAAGAGUGUGAGUCUUAGGAAAUUAGCUGGAGCUGUGCUCUGCAGUUUCACGCUGGCUGAUUUAUUUAUUCUUUAAAAACCUUAACACAUCAUUCAGACACAUCACAGUCAGCAUGGCAAUGUCUUACUCAACAUUCAGUCAGUUCUGCUGACCAAGUUUUGCUGGCCCAGUGCUCCAAGAGCCAAGAUCCUGCCUGCACCAACCCAAGGGCCAAUGCCUGACCCAUUUCAAACCUUCAAUCAAUGAAAGAAUCAAGAAAAAGUCUACAAAGUCAGGACACAAAAGAUAUUCAGGGAGGAACUGUGAGGAGUGGGCAGAUAAAGAAUGGAGUGUCAGGACCUGUGUAAGCCAGAGUGAAGACAUUAGGAAGAGAAUAAGCAAAUGGGAAGAUGUAUAAUUCAAAUGAGAAAACAGAGCAGUGAAACAAGGGAAUGCUUUAUUGCAUUGCUGAGUUACAGUGAUAAACCAAAGUGAUAUACACCUAGCUAGCACAGAAGAAACAGAAGAAUUCAAAGGGAGAAAAACUUGCAGAGUCCAUAAAUUAUUUUGCAAGGUAUAACAAUAUCUGAUAGAAAAUUUAGUGUGAAGAUGUUACAAUAAAUAAUACAAUAAAUAUUAGCAUUACAAUAUGGAACAGAACAAUCUGGAAUGGGAACAUCUACUGAAGUUCAUGGAGGGCAGGGAAACUUCUAAAGCAGGGCUGGAGCUACUCACCACUUUGGGGAGAGAUGAAGAGCAUAAAAUAUCCAUCUUCAGUAUUGUAAGUGACAUGAGCUCCUAAAAUAUGCAUCAAAUGAAACACCAGAGAGACAAAAAGGGCCCCUCUUCAGCACAAAACUCCAACCUUGCUGCCAAGGCAGGAUGCCAGGGAAACAGCCACGUCUGGGUAGCUGGAGCAGAGCUGGCCUCACCCUGUGCCUGCAGGGAUGCUUCCCCAUCCAUCAGCAACAUUUAUUUUUCAUCUAACCUCAAUGAGCAGGAGGCAAUACCCAAAACAGGCAGCAUAAUUUGUUCCACUAAGACACAGAAGAUUUGC
This is a long non-coding RNA of Passer domesticus (house sparrow), 2432 nucleotides long. RefSeq lists it as uncharacterized. The record is from RefSeq and is a predicted model, not a curated record. The transcript has 3 exons. Lineage: Eukaryota; Metazoa; Chordata; Aves; Passeriformes; Passeridae.